AUCCAUUUCCGGUUCGGCCCAUGACUUGAGGGCAUUAUAGUGAUCGGACAUCUUAAAACCCUAGGUUCCCACCACGCUGCGCGCUUUAAAUAUGACCCACGCGUUAGCCCCUUACGCUGUCGCCGACUCCUUCGGAGAUGUCGAAACGAGGACGAGGAGGCACCGCUGGAAACAAGUUCCGCAUGUCGCUGGGUCUUCCAGUGGCGGCGACGGUCAACUGUGCCGACAACACAGGGGCCAAGAACCUCUAUAUUAUAUCCGUCAAGGGGAUAAAGGGCCGGCUAAACCGGCUUCCGUCUGCUUGUGUCGGGGAUAUGGUGAUGGCUACCGUCAAGAAGGGUAAGCCGGACUUGAGGAAGAAGGUUAUGCCUGCUGUCAUUGUCAGGCAGCGGAAGCCGUGGCGCAGAAAGGAUGGUGUCUACAUGUACUUUGAAGGGAGUUCCUCCAUUGGAGGUGGUCUCAUAUUCCAUCGCCUGGAGGAGCAGCAUCGCUGCCAUUACCUCUUGGGACUGGCCAUGAGACAUACAUAUAGCUGUUGAGCUAAGAUAAAGAUAAUGCUGGAGUUAUUGUGAAUCCAAAAGGAGAAAUGAAAGGAUCUGCUAUCACAGGACCCAUAGGGAAGGAAUGUGCUGAUCUGUGGCCUAGAAUUGCCAGUGCAGCCAAUGCCAUCGUAUAAUGGUGAAGGCUUAAGUUUUUCUUUUUCCCAUUUUCCAAUCGUUGUGCUCAAAUGGAAUUUUGGAUUUUUUGUUGGUUCUAUAAAUUUUCUUUUUCUUGUGGUUAACUGGACAAGAUUUUGAUGUCUUAUGUGUCACCCACGAAUCUGGGUUUUAGUGUCAAGUGCUUGGAUUCCUCCAUAUGAGAUGCACUAAUGUGGCAUUUAACAUAAAAUUGACACAUUCCAUUAUGACA
RNA transcript from Musa acuminata AAA Group (dessert banana), 909 nucleotides. It is a transcript of the gene named large ribosomal subunit protein uL14x/uL14z/uL14y, with no coding region annotated. The record is from RefSeq and is a predicted model, not a curated record. The transcript has 5 exons. Lineage: Eukaryota; Viridiplantae; Streptophyta; Magnoliopsida; Zingiberales; Musaceae.